This 605-nucleotide ribosomal RNA is filed under the name Bacillus amyloliquefaciens. RNAcentral's name for it is "bacterial SSU rRNA". It matches the Rfam family "Bacterial small subunit ribosomal RNA", at positions 58 to 643 of the family's 1533-position model. Lineage: Bacteria; Bacillati; Bacillota; Bacilli; Caryophanales; Bacillaceae. The record is from RNAcentral.
CAAGUCGAGCGGACAGAUGGGAGCUUGCUCCCUGAUGUUAGCGGCGGACGGGUGAGUAACACGUGGGUAACCUGCCUGUAAGACUGGGAUAACUCCGGGAAACCGGGGCUAAUACCGGAUGGUUGUUUGAACCGCAUGGUUCAGACAUAAAAGGUGGCUUCGGCUACCACUUACAGAUGGACCCGCGGCGCAUUAGCUAGUUGGUGAGGUAACGGCUCACCAAGGCGACGAUGCGUAGCCGACCUGAGAGGGUGAUCGGCCACACUGGGACUGAGACACGGCCCAGACUCCUACGGGAGGCAGCAGUAGGGAAUCUUCCGCAAUGGACGAAAGUCUGACGGAGCAACGCCGCGUGAGUGAUGAAGGUUUUCGGAUCGUAAAGCUCUGUUGUUAGGGAAGAACAAGUGCCGUUCAAAUAGGGCGGCACCUUGACGGUACCUAACCAGAAAGCCACGGCUAACUACGUGCCAGCAGCCGCGGUAAUACGUAGGUGGCAAGCGUUGUCCGGAAUUAUUGGGCGUAAAGGGCUCGCAGGCGGUUUCUUAAGUCUGAUGUGAAAGCCCCCGGCUCAACCGGGGGAGGGUCAUUGGAAACUGGGGGAACUU